Pipra filicauda (Wire-tailed manakin) is the source of this 915-nucleotide long non-coding RNA. RefSeq lists it as uncharacterized. NCBI's taxonomy places the organism in Eukaryota, Metazoa, Chordata, Aves, Passeriformes, Pipridae. The transcript is spliced from 2 exons. The record is from RefSeq and is a predicted model, not a curated record.
ACAGCUUGUGCCGCUGCCUCCCCACCCUCACAGGGAAGGAUUUGUCCCCAGUGCCCCCCACCCAGGCGUUGGACACGUUUCUAGGAGGCGUGAAGGGCUGCGUGGCAAAUCCCCCUGCUCUUUGCAGCUGAAAGGGGAAAUGAGUGGAAACACGAUGUUGAACCCUGGCUGACCUGAAAAUAAACCCCAAAGUCUGCAGAAGACCCUUAUCACCACUGCCACCUCAGCUGUAUCCUGCAGUGGUUCCUGCUUACUCCAGGAGUUUCCACAACAUCUGCCACUCCGAGGGAUGUACAACAUCCCCCAAGCACCCCACGGAUGUGGACCUUGCAGUGCCAGUGCCCUCAUGGCCCGAGGUGAGGUGGACCUGAGGAAGGUCACGGUGGGUACCAGAGGGACUGAGCCAAGCCUGGUCCAGGGAGGUGCCAAGAGCAGCUCAUCUCUGGAGUUCAACUAAAGACACAGCACCUGAGACCUGCAGGCACCAUGUGAAGAGGCUGACGUGGGACAGGAAUCACAGCUGACCUGGUGACCAGGACAACUGCCCUGUGCUCCUCAGCAGCAGCAGCAGCCCCAAGCCAAGCCAAAAUCCUGGCGUUUGACGCAUCAUCACGUUCCCAUCCCAGCCACAAACUUCCCUCAACAGCAGCAGGAACAGAAAAAGAGGGGCCAGAGCAAAGCUCUUGGACCUCUUGUUCCUCAUCUAUUUUUUUUUUUUAAAGAACGGGCUAUAAUCAGAGCUGGAGGAAAUGGAGCAUAAAUAUCAAACUUUGUUUAGUCUGGGGAAAUAUCAUUUAUAAUUAGAGCUGGGCAUCCUGUUGACAUGAUAUAACCUAUUUUAAGUGUGAGGUGAGCAUACGGUCAACUUCUAAUCUUUUGCAAGUGAUUAAAAACUGCCAGUUCUUGUGUUCCUGA